ACUUGGUUGAUCCUGCCAGUAGUCAUAUGCUUGUCUCAAAGCUUAAGCCAUGCAAGUGUAAGUUCACGACACGCAUUAGAAGGGGCGAAACCGCAAAUGGCUCAGGAACCGGACCUAAUCCUUGGGACCGUAAUCUUCCUCGGAGGCGAUGGAUAACUGUGGCAAUUCUAGAGCUAAUACAUGUGACACAGGCCGCGAUCGGUCGGCCCGUCGUCGUCGUCGUCUGCGUGCCGUCAAGCACGUGGGCACCCGCCUCGACCGUUACAGGUCGCGGCGAUACAUAUUAGACUGAGACCGAUGCGCGUCAUUCCGUCCUCUCGCCGUCGUCGUCGUCGUCGUCGUCGCCGCCGUCGUCGCCUUCGUCGUCGCCGUUGUUGUCGCCGCCGUUGUUGUCGCCGCCGUCGUCGUUUUUUCCCUCUGGGUGAGCGCGCGGCGUUCUGCGGCGGGGCCAAAGCGCGGCUCGCUCCGCUUUGGUGACUCUGGAUAACACACUGGUCGAUCGCACUGGCUUUCACGCCUGGCGACGGGUCUCUCAAGGAUCCACCCUAUCAACUCUAGACUGUUGGUUAAGUGCCUACUCUGGUUACUACGGGUAACGUGGAAUCGGGGAAUCGGUGUUCGAUUCCGGAGAGCGCAAUUUACCCACUCCCGGCACGGGGAGGUAGUGACGAAAAAUAACGACGCGGGACUUUGUCGAGGCCCCUCGGUCGGAAUGAGUACACUUCAAAUCCGACGAUGACCAACCAGA
Molecule: non-coding RNA, 748 nt
Organism: Acanthosepion pharaonis
Lineage: Eukaryota; Metazoa; Mollusca; Cephalopoda; Sepiida; Sepiidae
Source: the annotation of a GenBank genome assembly